Molecule: ribosomal RNA, 322 nt
Filed under: uncultured Imbricatea
Lineage: Eukaryota; Cercozoa; Imbricatea
Description: SSU rRNA
Rfam family: Eukaryotic small subunit ribosomal RNA (bases 105-322)
Source: RNAcentral
GAUUUCUGGUCUGACAUGCCUGGCCCGCCGGGGUCACCCGUGUGAGUGCCGGUGCGCGUCUACCAUCCUUCUGGAAAACGGCCUUACCCUUCACUGGGCCGAGGUCGCGAUCCAGAUCUUUUACUUUGAAAAAAUUAGAGUGUUUAAAGCAGGCUUACGCUAUGAAUACAUUAGCAUGGAAUAAUAAUAUAGGACUUUGGUUCUAUUUUGUUGGUUUCUAGGACUGAAGUAAUGAUUGAUAGGGAUAGUUGGGGGUGCUAGUAUUCAGUGGCCAGAGGUGAAAUUCUUGGAUUCACUGAAGACUAACUACUGCGAAAGCAUU